This 513-nucleotide ribosomal RNA is filed under the name uncultured bacterium. RNAcentral describes it as "bacterial SSU rRNA". It matches the Rfam family "Bacterial small subunit ribosomal RNA", at positions 28 to 527 of the family's 1533-position model. The record is from RNAcentral.
GACGAACGCUGGCGGCGUGGAUUAGGCAUGCAAGUCGGACGGUAGAGCUUUAUCGUAAGAUAGAGUUUGAGAGUGGCGAACGGGUGAGUAACACGUAGGAAUCUACCCUUAAGACGGGGACAACCCAGGGAAACUUGGGCUAAUACCGGAUGAGAGUGCGAGAGAUUGCAUUUAAAAAGGAUGGCGAAAGUUGUCGCUUAGGGAUGAGCCUGCGGUCUAUUAGUUAGUUGGUGAGGUAAGAGCUCACCAAGGCGAUGAUAGAUAGGCGGCCUUAACGGGUGGUCGCCCACACUGGGAUUGAGAUACGGCCCAGACUCCUACGGGAGGCAGCAGUCGAGAAUAGUCUACAAUGGCCGGAAGGCUGAUAGUGCGACGCCGCGUGAACGAGGGAGCCCUUCGGGUGUAAAGUUACUUUUACUAGGGAAGUAAAGUAGAAGUCACGUGUGAUUUUUGUCAUGUACCUCGUGAUAAGACAUCGGCUAACUCCGUCGCCAGCAGCCGCCGGUAAGCACG